AGCAUUUCCUGGUUUGUUAAAGGGUCGAAAAACCCCUACAGCAAAUGCCAAAAAAAGACCCAGCAAGUCAACACCAGUGCAGUUUUUUUUUUUUUUUUUUGAUAAACAAGACCACUGAUAGAACCCCAAAGGCCUCCGAUGAGUUAACUCUUUUACAGGCUGGAUUAGGACGGAGGACUGUUGCCAUCCCAGAAGAUGCAAAUCACUCAGAGAUAUCCAAACUUCUUACAGAGACGUAUACAAAAAUGGCAUCUUUGGAAGGAGCCUGGAUGCUCUAUAAAGCUGUUGAACACCAAAGACCCUGACACUGAAGUUCCAUCAACAUCCACUAAAUUGGAUACAUUUAGUAGCAAUUUCAAGGAUGAAUUGGAUACUGUGAAUUCAUUUGUGUCAGUGAUGGAUCCAAUGGUAUCUUGUCCAGUGUGUUCUGGCAUGUAUUCACAAGACUACAUUGAAGUACACGCGAGCACCUGCGGGGAAAGAUGUGAAAAUAGACCAAACAUGGAUUUGGACAUUACUGUGCAAAACCCAGACAAGCAAAGCAGCAUUACAGAAGUAAUCCACAAACUCAAAGAAGCAAUAGAUCCUACAACUAUUUUCAGUGUCUGCGUCACAAGGGAGGACAUGUUUAAUCGAGGCUUGAUGCAAUGGAAACGUCAGAAGUCUUCUCCAAAGAAUCCCCUCAGAGUAACAUUCAUUGGAGAGCCUGGGAUAGACUGUGGUGCCCUUAUGAAAGAAUUCUUGACAGAAAUGAUGGCUGGGAUUGAGGCAAAAUUCUUUGAGGGAGGCAAUUCUGGGAAAAAUCUGAAGUAUUCUACCACAGAUUUUCAGAAUGACAAUUAUAGGACAAUUGGUGAAAUCAUGGCUGUAAGCAUUACACAAGAUGGCCCUCCCCCUAACUUUUUUCAGGAGUGGAUCUACAAUUUCAUCUCUUCUGGGGACAUUGAUAAAGAUCAGUUGUCAAAGGCUACAGUUACAGAUGCAGAUCUGCUAGACCUCAUCGAAAAGAUUGAGACAGCGGACGCUACAGCUCUUCUUGACCUUUUUGAAAGAAUCCUCGGAUGUGGGUACACUGGACUUCUAACAUGUGAAAGAAAGGAGGACAUUCAAAGGUAAAUAUUAUUCUACAAUGUUUUUCACGUUUUUUUGCAAUCUUUGGAUCUGCCUUUAUAGUUUUUCUAUUUUUUGAAUCUUUAAUACACCACCGGUCAAACAUUUGGGGUCAGUAGGAUUUUUAAAUGUUUAAAUGUUAAAAUAAGCUUCUCCUACUCACCAAGACUGCAUUUAUUUAAUCAAAAAUACAGAACAAAUGGUAAAAUUGUAAAAUAUUAUUGCACUAUAAAAUAACUGUUCAAAAGUAGUUUCUAACCAAAUUUAAUGAUUUAUUUCAGUUUAAGAUUAAUUUUCAGCUUCAUUACUCCAGUCUUCAAAGUCACAUAAUCCAGGGGUGGGGAACCUUUUUUCCAUCAAGGGCCAUUUACAUUUUUGUAACAUUGUUUAAGGGCUAUACUAAAUUAUAAGGCUGCUUGAUUAUGGGAAAAAUCAUAAUAGCGGUUAUUUUGGUCAUAAUUGUAAUCACAAUUAUUUAAAACGAUUAUCAGUUGAAGUCAAAAUUAUUCGCCCACCUGUGAAUUUUGUUUUUUUUUAUAUAUAAAUAUUUCCCAAAUAAAGUUUAACAGAGGAAUUUUUCACAGGAUUUUCUUAUAGUAUUUUUUUCUUCUGGAGAAAGUCUUAUUUGUUUUAUUUCAGCUAGAAUAAAAGCAGGUUUAAAUAUUUUGAAACCCAUUGUAAUAGCUCAAUAUUAUUAGCCCUCUUAAGCAAUAUUUUUGAUUGUCUGCAGAAGAAACUACUGUUAAACAAUGGCUUGCUUAAUUACCCUUAUUAAUUUUUUGAAUGUCAGUUUAAGCUGAAUACUAGUAUCUUGAAAAAUAUCUUGUAAAAUAUAAUGUCCUGUCAUCAUAGCAAAGAUAAAAGAAAUCAGUUAUUAGAAAUGAGUUAUUAAAUCUGUUGUUUAAAAAUGGGUUGAAAAUAAAUAUUUCCAUUAAACUGAAACUGGGGGGAAAGGGUCGCUAAUAAUUCAGGAGGGCAAAUAAAUCUGAUUUUAUAUAUGCACAGUUAUUUUCCUCCCUGUAAAUAAGGAAAGGGAAAUAAAUACAAUAAAAUAAAAAUAUAAAACAAACUGCUUUAAGCAUCUUCACUGUCAAAAAAAAAAAACUUCAGCUACAAAAGUCCUUCAGUCAAGAGCAGUGAGAGAUUUUGUCAUGUUGUCAGCAGCAGGAAUAUUGCGCACUGCCACUUUAAGAAUAGAGCGGCUCAGAUAUGGUUUCUCUUUCUCGUGUCUUUUGAUUCUCAACUUGAUUGUUUUUUACACAAAUGAGAGUUAAUAUGAAUAAUCACUAAACACAGCGCUCUGACACAAAUGUGCAUGUAUUUGACCAUUAAAGCGCUCGCAUUAAGAUGGCAUUAGAUGCGUGUGCUCUGCUCGUCUCCGAGGCUAAGUGCGCACACACACAGUAGUGUGUUUAGAACUGUGUUGAAAAAAAUCUUCUCUCCGUUAAAGAGAAAUUGUGAGAAAAAAUAAACAGGGGGGCUAAUUCUGACUUCAACUGUAUAUAUAAUAAUAAUAAUAAUAAUACAACAACAACAACGUGUAGACCUGCUAGACCUUUUUUAAAGCUGUUUUUUUACCCCAGAGGUUGCAAAUUUUAGUGAUGCACAGUUUCAAUAAUCAAUAUGAGUUGCUGUAGUUGUGCUUUUUAAAUAUUUGGUAGCACUUUAAUUUAGUGUCUGUGUCACAAAACAGUCAAGUAUGCAUAAUUACAACUAACUUUAAAACAAACCUAUUUCUAGCCAUAUUGUUAGUACAUUGUUAAUUUUACUCUGUACUUAAAUGUUACAUCUUAAAAACUGUCCGAUUUGAAAGUAUAUGGUAUGUAGAGCACUGUAAACUAAAGUGUAACCUAAAUAUCAAAAUUACAUGUUGAAUUUGACCAUGACUGUCUGCUGCGAUAUGGUAAACACAGCAUAUGCUACCCGCUUGCACAUGCAUGUUCCCGUACCAUCACCUUGCCUGCACAGCACUUAGGGACUUACAAAGACUUUUUUAGCAUUAUGCAGCAGGCUGUUAGCAAAAGCAAAGAAUUUGGUCGUUCUUGAGAUCAAUUUAUAGAAUAC
This 3174-nucleotide long non-coding RNA is filed under the name Danio rerio (zebrafish). RNAcentral's name for it is "lncRNA (ENSDARG00000117441.1)". The record is from RNAcentral. Lineage: Eukaryota; Metazoa; Chordata; Actinopteri; Cypriniformes; Danionidae.